RNAcentral lists this ribosomal RNA (402 nucleotides) under uncultured bacterium. RNAcentral describes it as "bacterial SSU rRNA". It matches the Rfam family "Bacterial small subunit ribosomal RNA", at positions 355 to 774 of the family's 1533-position model. The record is from RNAcentral.
UGGGGAAUAUUGGACAAUGGGCGAAAGCCUGAUCCGGCAAUGCCGCGUGGGUGAAGAAGGUCUUCGGAUUGUAAAGCCCUUUCGGCGGGGACGAUGAUGACGGUACCCGCAGAAGAAGCCCCGGCUAACUUCGUGCCAGCAGCCGCGGUAAUACGAAGGGGGCUAGCGUUGCUCGGAAUGACUGGGCGUAAAGGGCGCGUAGGCGGCGCACUUAGUCGGGCGUGAAAGUCCUGGGCUCAACCUGGGGACGGCGCUCGAUACGGGUGUGCUUGAGUGUGGAAGAGGGUUGUGGAAUUCCCAGUGUAGAGGUGAAAUUCGUAGAUAUUGGGAAGAACACCGGUGGCGAAGGCAGCAACCUGGUCCGUUACUGACGCUGAGGCGCGAAAGCGUGGGGAGCAAACA